Molecule: ribosomal RNA, 578 nt
Filed under: uncultured bacterium
Lineage: Bacteria
Description: bacterial SSU rRNA
Rfam family: Bacterial small subunit ribosomal RNA
Source: RNAcentral
AAGGGAGAGUAACGGGUGGUUACUUACCCUCAGGACCGGAAUAGUGUCGGGAAACUGACAGUAAUGCCGGAUAAUAUCUUUGGAUCAAAGGUGUGAUUCCGCCUGGGGAUAGGACCGCUUUCUAUUAGCUUGUUGGCGGGGUAAUGGCCCACCAAGGCUGAGAUGGAUACCGGGUGUGAGAGCAUGGCCCGGCUCACUGGGACUGAGACACUGCCCAGACACCUACGGGUGGCUGCAGUCGAGAAUCUUCGGCAAUGGGCGAAAGCCUGACCGAGCGACGCCGCGUGCGGGAUGAAGGCCUUCGGGUUGUAAACCGCUGUCAGUUGGGAGGAAGGCGCUGUGAAGAGCAGCGUUUGACCGAUCUUCAGAGGAAGGACGGGCUAAGUUCGUGCCAGCAGCCGCGGUAAGACGAACCGUCCGAACGUUAUUCGGUAUCACUGGGCUUAAAGAGUUCGUAGGCGGCCUAGUAGGUGAGGUGUGAAAUCCAACGGCUCAACCGUUGAAUUGCGCCUCAAACCGCUAGGCUCGAGGAUGGCAGGGGUGUUGGGAACAGAUGGUGGAGCGGUGAAAUGCGUUGA